GAUGAACGCUGGCGGCGUGCCUAAUACAUGCAAGUCGAGCGAACAGACGAGGAGCUUGCUCCUUUGACGUUAGCGGCGGACGGGUGAGUAACACGUGGAUAACCUACCUAUAAGACUGGGAUAACUUCGGGAAACCGGAGCUAAUACCGGAUAACAUGUUGAACCGCAUGGUUCAACAGUGAAAGACGGUUUUGCUGUCACUUAUAGAUGGAUCCGCGCCGCAUUAGCUAGUUGGUAAGGUAACGGCUUACCAAGGCAACGAUGCGUAGCCGACCUGAGAGGGGGAUCGGCCACACAGGAGCUGAGACACGGUCCAGACUCCUACGGGAGGCAGCAGUAGGGAAGCUACCGCAAGGGGCGAAAGCCUGACGGAGCGACGCCGCGUGAGUGAAGAAGGUCUUCGGAUCGUAAAACGCUGUUAUUAGGGAAGAACAAAUGUGUAAGUAACUAUGCACGUCUUGACGGUACCGAAACAGAAAGCCACGGCUAACUACGU
Molecule: ribosomal RNA, 496 nt
Filed under: uncultured bacterium
Lineage: Bacteria
Description: partial 16S ribosomal RNA
Rfam family: Bacterial small subunit ribosomal RNA
Source: RNAcentral